RNAcentral lists this ribosomal RNA (335 nucleotides) under uncultured bacterium. RNAcentral describes it as "bacterial SSU rRNA". It matches the Rfam family "Bacterial small subunit ribosomal RNA", at positions 8 to 353 of the family's 1533-position model. The record is from RNAcentral.
AGAGUUUGAUCCUGGCUCAGAACGAACGCUGGCGGCAGGCUUAACACAUGCAAGUUNAACGGGAUUAAUUUAGUGCUUGCACUAAAUUAUGAGAGUAGCGCACGGGUGAGUAAUACAUGGGAACCUAUCCUGAAGUGGGGGACAACAGUUGGAAACGACUGCUAAUACCGCAUACGCCCCGAGGGGGAAAGAUUUAUCGCUUUAGGCAGGGCCCAUGGCAGAUUAGGCAGUUGGUGAGGUAACGGCUCACCAAACCGACGAUCUGUAGCUGGUCUGAGAGGACGAUCAGCCACACUGGAACUGAGACACGGUCCAGACUCCUACGGGAGGCAGCA